Molecule: ribosomal RNA, 392 nt
Filed under: uncultured bacterium
Lineage: Bacteria
Description: bacterial SSU rRNA
Rfam family: Bacterial small subunit ribosomal RNA
Source: RNAcentral
GAUGAACGCUGGCGGCAGGCCUAACACAUGCAAGUCGAGCGCGAAAAUUCCUUCGGGGAUGAGUAGAGCGGCGGACGGGUGAGUAACGCGUAGGAAUCUGCCCGGUAGUGGGGGACAACAGUCGGAAACGACUGCUAAUACCGCAUACGCCCUAAGGGGGAAAGCAGGGGAUCUUCGGACCUUGCGCUAUCGGAUGAGCCUGCGUCGGAUUAGCUUGUUGGUGGGGUAAUGGCCUACCAAGGCGACGAUCCGUAGCUGGUCUGAGAGGAUGAUCAGCCACACUGGGACUGAGACACGGCCCAGACUCCUACGGGAGGCAGCAGUGGGGAAUAUUGGACAAUGGGGGAAACCCUGAUCCAGCCAUGCCGCGUGUGUGAAGAAGGCCUCGGUUG